RNAcentral lists this transfer RNA (71 nucleotides) under Sphaerodactylus townsendi. RNAcentral's name for it is "tRNA-Ala". It matches the Rfam family "tRNA". From Rfam's summary of the family: Transfer RNA (tRNA) molecules are approximately 80 nucleotides in length. Their secondary structure includes four short double-helical elements and three loops (D, anti-codon, and T loops). The record is from RNAcentral. Lineage: Eukaryota; Metazoa; Chordata; Lepidosauria; Squamata; Sphaerodactylidae.
GGGCUAUGGCUCAUUGGUAGAGUGCCUGCUUGGCAUGCAGGAGAACCCAGAUUCAGUCUCUGGCAUCUCCA